Non-coding RNA from Gorilla gorilla gorilla (western lowland gorilla), 149 nucleotides. It matches the Rfam family "Metazoan signal recognition particle RNA". Rfam says of the family: The signal recognition particle (SRP) is a universally conserved ribonucleoprotein. It is involved in the co-translational targeting of proteins to membranes. The eukaryotic SRP consists of a 300-nucleotide 7S RNA and six proteins: SRPs 72, 68, 54, 19, 14, and 9. Lineage: Eukaryota; Metazoa; Chordata; Mammalia; Primates; Hominidae. The record is from Rfam.
GCCAGGCGUGGUGGCAUGCACCUGUAGUCCCAGCUACUUGGGAGGCUGAGGUGGGAGGAUGGCUUGAGCCCAGGAGUUGGAGGCUGCAGUGAGCUAUGAUUGUGCCACUGCACUUCCAGCCUGGGCAACAGAGUGAGACCCUGUCUCAC